GAUGAACGCUGCCAGAAUGCUUAACACAUGCAAGUCAACUUGAACUUCGGUUUGGGUGGCGGACGGGUGAGUAACGCGUAAAGAACUUGCCUCACAGAUAGGGACAACAUUUGGAAACGAAUGCUAAUACCUGAUAUUAUGAUUUUAGGGCAUCCUAGGAUUAUGAAAGCUAUAUGCGCUGUGAGAGAGCUUUGCGUCCCAUUAGCUAGUUGGAGAGGUAACGGCUCACCAAGGCGAUGAUGGGUAGCCGGCCUGAGAGGGUGAUCGGCCACAAGGGGACUGAGACACGGCCCUUACUCCUACGGGAGGCAGCAGUGGGGAAUAUGGGACAAUGGACCAAGAGUCUGAUCCAGCAAUUCUGUGUGCACGAUGAAGUUUUUCGGAAUGUAAAGUGCUUUCAGGUGGGAAGAAAAAAAUGACGGUACCAACAGAAGAAGUGACGGCUAAAUACGUG
RNAcentral lists this ribosomal RNA (454 nucleotides) under uncultured bacterium. Its description in RNAcentral is "partial 16S ribosomal RNA". It matches the Rfam family "Bacterial small subunit ribosomal RNA", at positions 28 to 507 of the family's 1533-position model. The record is from RNAcentral.